GCGGAUGUAGCUCAAUUGGUUAGAGCGCUGGUUUGUGGUACCAGAUGUUGUGAGUUCGAGUCUCAUCUUCCGCCCCA
RNAcentral lists this transfer RNA (77 nucleotides) under Alphaproteobacteria bacterium. RNAcentral describes it as "tRNA-His". It matches the Rfam family "tRNA". Rfam says of the family: Transfer RNA (tRNA) molecules are approximately 80 nucleotides in length. Lineage: Bacteria; Pseudomonadati; Pseudomonadota; Alphaproteobacteria. The record is from RNAcentral.